Molecule: ribosomal RNA, 433 nt
Filed under: uncultured bacterium
Lineage: Bacteria
Description: partial 16S ribosomal RNA
Rfam family: Bacterial small subunit ribosomal RNA
Source: RNAcentral
AACGAACGCUGGCGGCAUGCCUAACACAUGCAAGUCGAACGAGACCUUCGGGUCUAGUGGCGCACGGGUGCGUAACGCGUGGGAACCUGCCCUUAGGUUCGGAAUAACUCCCCGAAAGGGGUGCUAAUACCGGAUAAUGUCUUCGGACCAAAGAUUUAUCGCCUUUGGAUGGGCCCGCGUUGGAUUAGCUAGUUGGUAGGGUAAAAGCCUACCAAGGCGACGAUCCAUAGCUGGUCUGAGAGGAUGAUCAGCCACACUGGGACUGAGACACGGCCCAGACUCCUACGGGAAGCAGCAGUGGGGAAUAUUGGACAAUGGGCGAAGGCCUGAUCCAGCAAUGCCGCGUGAGUGAUGAAGGCCUUAGGGUUGUAAAGCUCUUUUACCCGGGAUGAUAAUGACGGUACCGGGAGAAUAAGCUCCGGCUAACUCCGUG